Gordionus sp. m RMFG-2023 is the source of this 234-nucleotide long non-coding RNA. RefSeq lists it as uncharacterized. The record is from RefSeq and is a predicted model, not a curated record. Lineage: Eukaryota; Metazoa; Nematomorpha; Gordioida; Chordodea; Parachordodidae. The transcript is spliced from 3 exons.
AAAUCAACCAUUUUUAAUUUGCCGAACUUCCUGAAAUAUUUUGAAUUUACAAAUCCAUUCUGUAACAAUAUAAUUCAUGUUCAAACCAAGCAAACUUUAUUUAUUUAUCAUCAUGGAAAAAAGAAAUACUUCCAAACCAACAAAACUGCUUUGAUUGGUACAUGCGCUACCCAUAGGCAAAAGUCUAAAAAUAAAUUCCUAAUUUUAUUACCCCCAUCAUUCUUAACCUGUCAA